Long non-coding RNA from Argiope bruennichi, 519 nucleotides. RefSeq lists it as uncharacterized. The record is from RefSeq and is a predicted model, not a curated record. The transcript has 3 exons. Lineage: Eukaryota; Metazoa; Arthropoda; Arachnida; Araneae; Araneidae.
GAUUUAUGAGUGAAAAUCAGGAAUUUAGCCUUGAAUGUUAAAAAAAGGGGAUGAAAGGUAUAUAAGGCCAAAAUUUUAGGGAAUGGGUAGCUUAUUUCUCCCUAAGGUACAGCGAGAGAAGUUCAUCAUGCAGUACUUGUUCGCUUUCCUGCUGUUGGCCAGUCUUCUGGCGUUCUCCUAUGCCAUCUACGGAUAUCCUUACGGAUACAACUACCUAGGCCACUACGGAUACUACGACCACCUCUACGACCACGGACUUUACGAUUACGACCACGACUACCACAUCCUGUUGAAGAAAUAAGUUAUUUGAAAAAUGGCUUUACUCUUUUGUAACAGAUACGACCGAGCUUUACGUGAUGAAGAAUCUUGCUUUUCAAGGAAAACGUUCUCCCGAAAUAUCUUCCUUUACUUUGCUAUAAAAAUGCUUUAUAUUUCCACAAAGACUUUUACAACCACCUGCUUUGUUUAAAAAUUAAGCAUCAAUAAAGUAUACUUCUCUAUGUUUUCUAUUAAAAUGAA